GUUCCCUUGGUGGAGGUGUGCUGUGCCUGUGGUUUUCUUGUGUGCAAUAUGUCUGGUCUUGGGUGACACACCAACUUAAGCAUAUAGACCAAUUCGAAAAGAAGCCGUAAUGGAUGAGGACGAAUAUAUCCGGAAGGAAAAGCGGCGUGAACAGAAAGCAAAAUGGGCCAAGAAGAAAAGAGAUGCACUGAGAAUUGUUUCUGUCCUAGAAGACGUGAGGAGAAGGCCACUCUGUGCUGAUGCCCCUGGAAACAGUGCUCCCGGCCCCUCAAUACCUGUCAAUGAUGUAUCCAGUCCAGUAAACCUUGAUUCAUGUGAUGGCACUUCUGAUGAAGAGGGCAGUACUGAUCAUGCCGUACAUGUGGAGGUCGAUGAAGAAACUGUGACCGAGGAUGAAUUAUUUGAGAGACAUUUGCAGGAAAUCUUUGGAGACUCUUCCCCUGGUCCAACAAACAGAGUUUAUAACGCUUCUGAAACAGGAAGUCCUGAUGGUAAUGCAUAUAACUACAGCAGCCCUUCUGAUGAAGAUGGUGAUAAUGAAGAGGGUGAUGAUGUCACUGCAAACCCUAACGGCAAUAUUCGCAGUUCCGCGAGCCCUAGUUACGACACUCCCAGUCCCGCGAGCCCUGGUUACGACACUCCCAGUCCCGCGAGCCCUGGUUACGACACUCCCGAUCCUGCGAGCCCUGGUUACGACACUCCCGGUCCCGCGAGCCCUGGUUACGACACUCCCGAUCCUGCGAGCCCUGGUUACGACACUCCCGGUCCCGCGAGCCCUGGUUACGACACUCCCGGUCCCGCGAGCCCUGGUUACGACACUCCCGGUCCCGCGAGCCCUGGUUACGACACUCCCGGUCCCGCGAGCCCUGGUUACGACACUCCCGGUCCCGCGAGCCCUGGUUACGACACUCCCGGUCCCGCGAGCCCUGGUUACAAUACACACGACAGCAGUUCUGAUGAAGAGGCUGAUGACAAUCGUGUUGUGUAUGUCAAGGAGGUUGAUGUUGAAGAAGCAGCGAAUGAGGCCGAGUUCUUCAAGAGGUCAUUGCGUGAAUUGUUUGGGAGAACAUCACUUUCACGGACUGAGCAGCAGUACCUACUUGGGCUUUUCAACCGUGCUGGUGUCCAGGGUUUGCCAAAGGAUCCGCGCACUCUACUUUGCACACCAGGCUCUGUUAACAUAAAUCCAUCCUACUUUGGUGUAGAGUACCACUGGUUUGGCAUUGAUGACCAGUUAACACGUGCUCUUGACUAUUUGGUUCGCCCACUUCGUCUUGAUGAAGAGAUCAAACUUAUGAUUGGUGUCGAUGGUGUACUGAUUUUUGAUUCGUCAGACGUUAACUCGUGGCCAGUACUGGUGUCUGUAGAGAAUGACCAGUCACUGAACAAAAUCUUUCCAUUAUGUGCAACAAUGGGUGGCAAGCCAAGCUGUGUGUCCUAUGUGAACCAGUGCGUCGAUGAGUUGUCUAGUCUACUCCGCGAUGGCUUCGUUUACAGGGGCAACCACCACCAAGUGUGUCUAAUGUGCAUAGUAUGCGAUGCACCAGCCCGGGCCUUCAUGAAAAGCAUCAUGGGACACAUGGCUGGUCAUUCUUGUGAGCGCUGCCGAGACAAAGCAAUCAAGGUGGAUGGUAGGAUGGUGUUCUACAGGACUGAGGAUUUUGACCUGCAAAGUGACGACACAUUCCGCAGGAAAGACUACACUGAACAUCAUAAUUCUCGCUGCAUCGACAGCCCAUGGCUGAACAUUCCAGGCUUUGACAUGAUACAUGGGUUUGCAUUGGAUUACAUGCACAUGGUCUGUCUUGGUGUGGUUAAGCGGCUAACAGAUUUCUGGAUGAACAGGCAAUUUAAUCGGACAGCCUUUCAUCUAGACCAGGUUGCAGUGGCUGACAUUAACAGGAAAUUAAUGAGGAUGAAGGUGACAAUGCCAUUCAACUUUGCCCGCAAACCAAGGUCAUUGGAAAAGAUCAGUAGAUAUAAGGCUACUGAAUACAGGACACUUCUGCUAUACACUGGCCCGGUUGCCUUCAAAGGUGUCCUGAGGCCUGCUUACUACAAUCAUUUUCUUCUCUUGUCAGUGGCCAUCGGUCUUUUAGUGAGUGAGAGGACAGCUCAUCUGCAGAUAGAUUAUGCGAGGGAGUUGUUAACUCUGUUUGUAAAGAAAGCUUUUAGGCUCUACGGCGAUAUUUUUGUUGUAUACAAUGUACACCAUCUCCUACAUUUGGCAGACGUCACUGAGAAGCAUGGUUGUUUGGAAAACUGUUCAGCUUUUAAGUUUGAAAACUUUCUCGGCCAGCUGAAAAAGAAGGUUAGGCCUGGUCACAAGCCUCUCGUGCAGCUGGCUAAGCGGCUCAGGGAAAACCCCAUCAGAUCAAAUACCUGGAAACAGGAAAAACUUUGCGUUACAGCCCCGAACAAUGUAUAUCUGACUGCUACUGGGGAAAUUAUUGAACUCGAGAAGGCUGAUGAUGGCACCUACGUCUACCGUCGAUACACACGGUUACGGCCUGCUGUCGCUGCCCCAGUGGACACCACCUUGGUGGGAUUCCUUGAGUGCCCCAAUGGGAACUUGUGCCUCUCAUUCCCAACAGACAUGGGUGACACCAAGAUAGUUGCUAAAGUAUGGAAGCACACAGUUCCUGGGGUCAACCGAGUGUUGUUUAUGGUUCUUAAUCACUGCUCUGCUUUCGCACAGAACACUUAGCUGGAUAUCGACUAGAUUGACUCUUGACCCCAACUGCCUUCAAUUCUUCAAAAUAUUCUCUUUGGUUUUGAGGCUGAAUGCAUAAACGUGGAGGAUCAAAUGAUAUACAGGCUGUAAUCCCGACAAGAGCUGGACGCUUGUCAAGUACCUGCGAGAUGCAACAUAUGACCUCAUCCCGUUCCGCUGGGUCCGAAAGAGGCA
Molecule: unclassified non-coding RNA, 2908 nt
Filed under: Patiria miniata (bat star)
Lineage: Eukaryota; Metazoa; Echinodermata; Asteroidea; Valvatida; Asterinidae
Description: uncharacterized LOC119729282, transcript variant X2
Source: RNAcentral